Seriola aureovittata is the source of this 1622-nucleotide long non-coding RNA. RefSeq lists it as uncharacterized. The transcript has 3 exons. NCBI's taxonomy places the organism in Eukaryota, Metazoa, Chordata, Actinopteri, Carangiformes, Carangidae. The record is from RefSeq and is a predicted model, not a curated record.
UUUGUCAGCAUUAAGGAAAAUGGCCAACAAUCCAUAACUAAAAAUCAAGCUGCUCUUCGUUACUAAAUAAUUAAUUAAAGCACAUACACAACUGCAUAAUGGUCAGUCCAGUAUCUUUUUGAUCUCCUCUCCUCUUUUCUCUUUGUCUAAUUUCACCUUUUCCUUUUUUUUUGUCUACUUUCUUUCCCUUUCAAUACCUCUCUUUCUCACCAGCCACACUGAGGCGCUGCCCUCCCAUUCCCUCCAAACUAAACAGUAACCUGAUAGAAAUUCAAAGCCCCAUCAUCCCUCUGUGACUCCUGGGUGAACCUACGGAAUCACUCGAGGCCAGUGAGGCAGCAGGGGAGGCCAGGCGGAGGCCGCGUCCUGCAGUCAGGUCCCGCGGAUGUAAACAGACACUCUGGUGACAGGCAGCCAGCGAAACGAGGAGGGGAGGCAGGAGCUGGCGGGAACCAUCGGCUGCACACUCCCAAACUCCUUGCUGGGUAUUAGACGGUGAUUAUAAGGUUCGCCGUGCCAUCUGAUUACCACAUGGCAACAGGCUUUAUUGAUCCCAGGACAAUCUGCGCCUGAGCAUUAUUCAGAAGUGUCGGGAGGGCAGGGAACUGGAAAUCAUUGCACUGUUUCCUCUUCCUCUUCGUCGUUCUCCUUCUAUUGAAAACUAUGAAGCGAGAGGUGGACAACAACAGGCCGGGCUGUUGUGCUUGCUCAUUAAGUCUGCCCAGAGCUCCACAUCAAAAAGGCCAUCUGCAGUAAAAAGGCCAGCCAACACACCAUGUGCUCCCAUCUCUUCCACAAGUUUCCUCUGCCCAGCAUCCAGACACGGCACUGCCCACCGUCUCAUCAAUUUUCCUCUUUGAUUUCAUCACUGACUGAAACUAAAGUGGCAUUACAAAGUUUUAUUUUGCAACAGAGUAAGUUUCACAACUGAAACUGUGUGAAAUUCAGAAACCCCAAGUUCUUAUCUAAUAUAUAAAAAAGUCUCUUAUUAAAAAUGUGGUGCCAAACAAAUACACAAGGAUUUAUUUUACAGUCUCAAAAAUGCCAACUGCUUUCAAUCCCACAGAGCAUUAGGAUUUAAAGUGAGCAUGAAACACAAACCCUUCAAGCAGAUUAAAUUUCAAAUCAAGCAGGCCAUGUAAAUGAUGUGGUGACAGGGGGCCCAGUGCAAUUAGCAUGCCAGGCUAGUGUUAAAGCAAUUAGGCAAAACAGACGGCUAGAGCACCAGGGCUAAGCAUGGGAAGGGAGGAAGGACGAAUAUUUCCAUAUUGCUCUUCAGGACAUGCGUGCAUGUGUGUGCAUGAUGUGUGUGUGUGUGUGUGCAUGUACGGUUUGUUUGAGGUCGUUCGACACUCAACUUGUUUGUGAAAUUCUCAGAGGGAAUCGGAGGUUAAUGGGAACUAGACUUUGUUUACUGACAGGGUAUCCAGACAUUUUGGAGAGCAAACGAGGGAAAAAAACUAAAUAACAAAUGCUGCGUUCCUUGUAACAAAUAGAAAAAAAUAAAAAAGAAACAGAAAACAUUGACUCUCGUGUUGCUUAGGGGAAUCACAAAAACAUUUACUGGUAAACAAGCCCAGAGCGGAAACUCUGGGAACCACUUUGGGGAAAAAGCAGACACA